AGCGAACGCUGGCGGCAGGCCUAACACAUGCAAGUCGAACGAACUCUUCGGGGUUAGUGGCGGACGGGUGGGUAACACGGGGGAACGUGCCUUUUGGUUCGGUAUCACUCAGGGAAACUUGUGCUAAUACCGCAUGUGCCAUUCGGGGGAAGGAUUUAUGGCUAUUAGCUCGGCGCGCGUCUGAUUAGCUAGUUGGUGAGGUAACGGCUAACCAAGGGCAGGUUCAGUAGCUGGUCGGAGAGGAGGACCCGCCCCACUGGGACUGAGACACGGCCCAGACCCGGACGGGAGGGAGCAGUGGGGAAUCUUGCGGAAGGGGCGAAAGCCUGACGCAGCCACGCCGCGUGAAUGAGGAAGGUCUUAGGAUUGUAAAAUUGUUUCUCCGGGGACGAUAAUGACGGUAACCGGAGAAGAAGCCCCGGCUAACUUCGUG
RNAcentral lists this ribosomal RNA (433 nucleotides) under uncultured bacterium. RNAcentral's name for it is "partial 16S ribosomal RNA". It matches the Rfam family "Bacterial small subunit ribosomal RNA", at positions 29 to 507 of the family's 1533-position model. The record is from RNAcentral.